AACUCAGCCCAUCUGCACCGUUGGCUCCAUUUGUUGCCAAGCAAUCACAACCGUUUAUUUUCUCCAGAUUCCACUAUAUAAAACGAUCAUAACAUUUUUCCCUCGUUCAUUCCAUCGUUGCCGCGUAAAUCGGAAUCGGCGCAUUCGCUUUAACCUAGCAAAUUUCUCCGUCCAAACCGUCCUUUGAUUCAGUCAAAGGCAAAUUUUCGGUUCAUAUCGCAUGGAUCGAACCUUGAUCUGGUUUUUAGGAUGGUUAAUUGGAGAUUCUGUCGAUGUUUCGGUCUCCGUUUUGAUGGAGGCCAGUGGAAUUGCUACAUCUGCAAGGAACCGUUAUUCAAUCUGGUCGUGAAUCUGAUAAGAUGCGCGAGUUUUUGUUUCGAAACAGAGCAAUUGAAGCGAGAUUGGUUGUAUAAUUUUGGUUGUAUUCAAUCCUUUAGGAGAUUACCUGUUAUAUCGAUUGUGGAUUUGAUUGGUUGAGUUGAAGGUUAUGGUUGAGAGUAGGGGUGUAAAUGGGCUGGGCUGGGCUUUGGCCAUCCUGGCCCAAGCUUACGUAAAAAAAAAUUCAGCCUAUCUGACCUACUGGCCGAUUAAAGGCUUUAUUUGUAGGCCAAGCCCGGCCCAUUUUCAAAAA
Long non-coding RNA from Gastrolobium bilobum, 631 nucleotides. RefSeq lists it as uncharacterized. The transcript is spliced from 2 exons. The record is from RefSeq and is a predicted model, not a curated record. NCBI's taxonomy places the organism in Eukaryota, Viridiplantae, Streptophyta, Magnoliopsida, Fabales, Fabaceae.